RNAcentral lists this non-coding RNA (24 nucleotides) under Arabidopsis thaliana (thale cress). The record is from RNAcentral. Lineage: Eukaryota; Viridiplantae; Streptophyta; Magnoliopsida; Brassicales; Brassicaceae.
AUUGGUCAACGUAAAUGAGGUGUA